UCUCUCUCUCUCUCUCCCCCACACACACACAGAGCACACAAAAUGGCUGACAUCCAUCAUGGUGAUGGAUCAUGCUUCCCAAGAACGGACGCCGCAUGCGGUGGAGGCGGAGUAUGCGGUGGUAGAUCGCUUGGUCGGCUGUGCCUUCUUCCACCAAUGAUCAUAACAUAGAGGGUAACACCCAUGGACGUGGCACACAGGAUUAAGCCAGGCAGAGCAGAUUUACUUAUCAGAUAUUACCUGAAAAGAAUAUAUUUUGCAUGACCGUGUUCGUUCUACAAGCUUAUUCAAGAUUCAGCAAUGCAUGUGAUCAAUGGAUAUCACACGUGCAGUAGUCUCAUCUCAGCGUCUCAUCCUGAGGUUCUUCGCGGCCUUUUCUCGUCUUUCCUUAUUUUUCAGGUUUCUUGAAGAAGGUCCUUGUAUGUUGCGAUUAUCCUUUGUUUAGGGUUAGGCACUGGUGUGAAGUGAAUUCAGAUAUGUAGGAACAUAUGCUUUUUGUUUCUUUAAUUCGUUGCUCUUAAAUUUUCUCUCAAUGGAGUGUUUUUCUUCUGUGCAACCUCCUCCUCUUCAGAUGAUGUUCGCAUGAAAAAAGGGACAGUCCUCAGUUUCUAUAUAUCUGAUGAUCAUCAAACUAAACCAGACAAUUGUUGGAACAAGUUGUCAUUCCCUUUCAUUUUCAGCAUACGUUUGUUUCUC
This is a long non-coding RNA of Syzygium oleosum, 696 nucleotides long. RefSeq lists it as uncharacterized. The transcript has 2 exons. The record is from RefSeq and is a predicted model, not a curated record. NCBI's taxonomy places the organism in Eukaryota, Viridiplantae, Streptophyta, Magnoliopsida, Myrtales, Myrtaceae.